CUUGGAACUGCACAGUCUCUGUGGAUAGCGCAAGCCGGAAAUAAACCAAGUGACUUGCUCCGAAAUUAAGUGUCUAUAACAGAACACCCGAUUUUUUUAGAUUUUUUUUUUUUUNNNNNNNNNNNNNNNNNNNNUUUUUUUUUUUUUUUUUUUUUUUUUUUUUUUUGGUCACCAUUUUAUGAUGAGUGCCCUGAGAGGUUGUGGAGUCUCCUUCAGUGGGGAUAUUCUGGACAUCUAGACACAAUCCUGUGCCAUGUGCUCUGUGAUAACCCUGCUUGAAGAGGAAGGUUGCAUCACAUGACCCACUGUGGUUCCUUCCAACCCGACCCGUUCUGUGAUUCCCUUUGAGUCACACUAAAAAAGUUUUUCUUCUGCCAUGAAAUAGACAGGGCAGGAGAUAUUUCUCCCUCUUUGAUGACCUUAUUAAAAAGNGAUCAGCUCAAGGCUGGGAGGCCCGAUGGAUCCGCGGGUUCGCCGUCGCAGCUCCCUGGAGCGACUUGGAGAAGGAGACAAAUGCAGCUUUGUCCACUAAGUUCUCCAGAGCUGGCCCUGUAUGUGGUUGGUAUAUCCCUUCUCCACUUUCUCCUGUACUUUUCACAGUUGUAUCACCAAAGAAAUAUCAGAGUUACACAGACUGUUUCCAGGAUCUACUGCCUGCACAUUAAGUUCUUUGUCUCCCUCCAGAAAACUGCUAAGGUAGUCUCACAUGAGCUGGUCUCACACUGAAAUGCUGACAGUGUUUCCAUUCCCACAAGAGGGCACCAGGCACGGGAAAAUCCCUUCACAUUCAUUAAUAUCAGCCUUAUAGUUCAUCUCUACUUCUUAAUCACUUAUAGUACUAUAAUGCAUAAUAUCAAAUGAAACCCCUUUACAUCUACUACACAAAGAAAUUACCUUUCAGCCAAUUUAUACUCAUAAUUACCUAUGUUUAAACAUCUGUUUAUGACACUUGCUAUAUUUCACCUGUGUUCAGAGAGAUACUUUGCUAUCACAGUUAUAUCAAUGUUCUUGUCUAUUGACUAUGUGUGGACUCUUUCUCACACAGGAAAUUCACAUGGGCAAAAUUAAGCACUUUCUGAAACAAAGAAGGCAAAAGAUUGAUUGUACAUCUAGAAAUCUUCCUGAUUUCACAUGUCCAGUUCCCCUUUUCACCUGGAUCCAUCUCUUGUAGCAGGCAGGAUCUGCCUGAUUUGUGCCCUUGAAGCUGCUCCAGCCCUUAUCACCAUGGCAUCCCAUGGCAGAGAGCAGCUGUACUGGUGGAGUGACAUUGCCUUGCAAAUCAUCUCCAUGUAACUUGCCUGAUCUUACCUUCUGUCUACCCAGCCGGCACAAAACUUCUGCAGUUGUGAGCCUCCUGCACAAAGAAAGUUCUUCUUCAGCAAAAGUGGAAUCUAAAGCUGGUUUUCCCACAUGGACACUCUUACUUCAGGGGAAAAAAAAAGUCCUUUGUGAAGGAGUUUCACUCCUAUUGUCUUUGUGUCUGGCAUUUGAACCUACAAGAGGCAAUCUUUAUUGAAGGAUUUCUCAUCAGUGUUUGUCCGAUUUUCAAGAUAAUUUCGCAACUGGGGUUCUAUGUGCUGGGAGAAAAGUUUGUUUCAAAGUAGUUACAUGGAUUUGUAAUCUUGGAGUUCUAAAACUGCUGUGAACCAUGUCUACUUGACGUCAUCUGUGCGCAAACAAGUCCCUGUUUUCUUCUGUAUAGAAGUGAGCUGUUUCAGCAAUGUUUAGUCAACCAGUACUGACUGACCUUCUCAAAUCCACAGAUUCAUUUUCAAUAAAUGUUUAACUACUGUUUUCUAAAGCCA
This 1805-nucleotide long non-coding RNA is filed under the name Serinus canaria (Common canary). Its description in RNAcentral is "lncRNA (ENSSCAG00000004363.1)". The record is from RNAcentral. Lineage: Eukaryota; Metazoa; Chordata; Aves; Passeriformes; Fringillidae.